Long non-coding RNA from Nomascus leucogenys (northern white-cheeked gibbon), 1233 nucleotides. RefSeq lists it as uncharacterized. Lineage: Eukaryota; Metazoa; Chordata; Mammalia; Primates; Hylobatidae. The record is from RefSeq and is a predicted model, not a curated record. The transcript is spliced from 4 exons.
GAAGUGGCUGCCACCAUCUUGGGGGCUCUGGGAGCAAGGACCCCUGUAACACUUUCAUCCUUGAAUGAGAAAAUAUCUGGUCCAGCAUGGUAUUGUAACAUAAACAUGAAGAGGAAGAGGCAUGAGAGAUGAGCACAAUGAAAAAAGACCAAGCAGGGACACAGUGCGAAGGUGGCAUCUGCACGCCAAGCACAGGGACCUCAGAAGAAACUGAGCCAGUCAGCACCACACCUUCGUCUUUGACCUCCAGCCUCCAGAACUAAGGAUAGAGCUCCUCAUCUCUGUUAGAAAUGACCAUCAAAAAGAUACAUCAAUUCAUUAGAAUCAAAAGGACAUGAGUUAUCAGAAUUCUUUCUCCUGAAAGAAAGUGGAGAUCAAAGGUAAAACUUCUAGAGAAUGAGAUGAAGGCAGAUGAAAGAAGUUAACAAAACAUUACACGACUUGAUAAUAUUGCAUGUAUACAAAAACCUUAUGAAAUCAACUGUGUCCUAGUGACCACUUGUUUUUCUUUUUGUCAUAAUACUUUUUUUCUCUUGCAAUGAUAUUGAUUCAUCUGCACCGGACAUCAACUCUGCAUUUGUAGAAGGUGUUAAGAAUACAGGGAAAUGGAAUAAGUGGCUUUGCCUGUAAUCCCGCAGCAGCAGAAAUGUCCAUGUCCUCUCUCCUGAAAAAUACCACAUUCUCCACUGGGUUCCACAAGUUUCGAGGUAAGAGCAUGAACAUACACAAAGUCACCAUCACUACCCUCACCACCACCACCAUUAUUUCCACCAUAUUCACCCUUUUAAUAUGCAAACUUUCUCCAAGGCUUCCUGAAGUCACCCAGAAAUGCGUUUCCCCAAGAGUGAGUUGUGCUAACUUUGUAUCCUAUGGAACUCUGGGAAGCUACUCGGAUCCUCAACUCUUGGAGUCUUGCUGACUGCAUGUUCCAGGCUCCACAUUUAAGCUCCAGUGAUUGCUGAUGACCGCAUGACCUAACGCAUGUCCUCAAUCGUUUCUUGGCCUCAGUUUCUUCACCAAUGAAUUCUGGAGACUGGAGUUGGCAAUAUUUCAGGUUCUUUCCAACUGGAAAUACCCAUCUAAUAAUUUUAGUAAGGCAAUAUCCAUAGAAACCUACUGACAAAAUGAGUAUUUUAACAGAGACAGUCGUAGUUUCUUAAUUUUUACCAGAAGGGAAUGCAUAUGUAUAAUAUCUAUGUUGCCUUUUAUGUGUAAAAAUAAAUACACAGACAC